GUACACUCCUGCGGGAGGCAGCAGUGAGGAAUAUUGGACAAUGGGUGGAAGCCUGAUCCAGCCAUCCCGCGUGCAGGAAGACGGCCCUAUGGGUUGUAAACUGCUUUUAUCUGGGGAUAAACCUACUUACGUGUAAGUAGCUGAAGGUACCAGAAGAAUAAGCACCGGCUAACUCCGUGCCAGCAGCCGCGGUAAUACGGAGGGUGCAAGCGUUAUCCGGAUUUAUUGGGUUUAAAGGGUCCGUAGGCGGACUGAUAAGUCAGUGGUGAAAUCCGACAGCUUAACUGUCGAACUGCCAUUGAUACUGUUAGUCUUGAGUAAGGUUGAAGUGGCUGGAAUAAGUAGUGUAGCGGUGAAAUGCAUAGAUAUUACUUAGAACACCAAUUGCGAAGGCAGGUCACUAAGUCUUAACUGACGCUGAUGGACGAAAGCGUGGGGAGCGAACAGGAUUAGAAACCCUAGUAGUCCCA
This 470-nucleotide ribosomal RNA is filed under the name uncultured organism. RNAcentral's name for it is "partial 16S ribosomal RNA". It matches the Rfam family "Bacterial small subunit ribosomal RNA", at positions 331 to 797 of the family's 1533-position model. The record is from RNAcentral.